This 453-nucleotide ribosomal RNA is filed under the name uncultured Oomycota. RNAcentral's name for it is "LSU rRNA". It matches the Rfam family "Eukaryotic large subunit ribosomal RNA", at positions 326 to 628 of the family's 3401-position model. The record is from RNAcentral. Lineage: Eukaryota; Oomycota.
GUGCGAGACCGAUAGCGAACAAGUACCGUGAGGGAAAGAUGAAAAGAACUUUGAAAAGAGAGUUAAAGAGUACCUGAAACUGCUGAAAGGGAAUCGAAUCGUUUCCAGUGUCUAUAAUCUGUGGCAUAUUUCAUUGGCGAGUGUGUGCGUGCAUUGUUUUGGAAGCAGUUUUCUGUUCCUGGCUGUGUUGUGCAUUUGCUUGCUGGUGCCCUGUGUCGCGGUGGGACGUCAGAGUCAAUUCGUAAGUUGCGGGAAAUGGCUAUUGGGGAGGUAGGUCACUUCGGUGGCUGUUAUAUCCUGAUAGCUAGUAGUCGUGGCUGGGAUUGAGGUGCCUACAACGUGCUUUCGAGUGUCUGGGUGUCUCGUUUGGUAAGUUAUCUUGACAGCUUGCUGUGUUGGUGAUAUUAUUGAGCGAUUGAUGUCUGGUCUAACUUGUUGCUGUUCGGGACUUUG